Molecule: ribosomal RNA, 253 nt
Filed under: uncultured bacterium
Lineage: Bacteria
Description: partial 16S ribosomal RNA
Rfam family: Bacterial small subunit ribosomal RNA
Source: RNAcentral
UACAGAGGGGGCAAGCGUUGUUCGGAAUUACUGGGCGUAAAGGGCGCGUAGGCGGCCUGCUAAGUCGAACGUGAAAUCCCCGGGCUCAACCCGGGAACUGCGUCCGAUACUGGGGGGCUUGAAUCCGGGAGAGGGAUGUGGAAUUCCAGGUGUAGCGGUGAAAUGCGUAGAUAUCUGGAGGAACACCGGUGGCGAAGGCGGCAUCCUGGACCGGUAUUGACGCUGAGGCGCGAAAGCCAGGGGAGCAAACGGG